Molecule: ribosomal RNA, 374 nt
Filed under: uncultured bacterium
Lineage: Bacteria
Description: bacterial SSU rRNA
Rfam family: Bacterial small subunit ribosomal RNA
Source: RNAcentral
UACGUAGGGGGCAAGCGUUGUCCGGAAUUACUGGGCGUAAAGCGCACGCAGGCGGAAUUGUAAGUCCGUUGUAAAAUUCAGAGGCUCAACCUCUGUCUGUCGGCGGAUACUGCAAAUCUAGAGUAUGUGAGAGGGAAGUGGAAUUCCUGGUGUAGCGGUGAAAUGCGUAGAUAUCAGGAGGAACUCCGGUGGCGAAGGCGACUUCCUGGCACAAGACUGACGCUCAUGUGCGAAAGCUAGGGUAGCGAACGGGAUUAGAUACCCCGGUAGUCCUAGCCGUAAAUGAUGGAUACUAGGUGUGGGUGUCGCAGGGCAUCCGUGCCGCAGUUAACGCGUUAAGUAUCCCGCCUGGGGACUACGGUCGCAAGACUGAA